GGGCGCGCAGCUCAAUGGGCAGAGCAAGUGACUCUUAAUCACUAGGUUGAAGGUUCGAUUGCUUCCCGCGCUCGCCA
RNAcentral lists this transfer RNA (77 nucleotides) under Terriglobia bacterium. RNAcentral describes it as "tRNA-Lys". It matches the Rfam family "tRNA". Rfam says of the family: Transfer RNA (tRNA) molecules are approximately 80 nucleotides in length. Their secondary structure includes four short double-helical elements and three loops (D, anti-codon, and T loops). Lineage: Bacteria; Pseudomonadati; Acidobacteriota; Terriglobia. The record is from RNAcentral.